CACUAGGCCCUUUUCAGGGCCACCAUACCCAAGCCAGUCACUGACCU
Non-coding RNA from Operophtera brumata (winter moth), 47 nucleotides. NCBI's taxonomy places the organism in Eukaryota, Metazoa, Arthropoda, Insecta, Lepidoptera, Geometridae. The record is from Rfam.